This 98-nucleotide small nucleolar RNA is filed under the name Microcebus murinus (gray mouse lemur). Its description in RNAcentral is "Small nucleolar RNA SNORA31 (ENSMICG00000031771.2)". It matches the Rfam family "Small nucleolar RNA SNORA31". Rfam says of the family: ACA31 (SNORA31) belongs to the H/ACA class of snoRNAs which are thought to guide the sites of modification of uridines to pseudouridines. ACA31 is predicted to guide the pseudouridylation of U3713 in 28S rRNA and U218 in 18S rRNA. The record is from Rfam by way of RNAcentral. Lineage: Eukaryota; Metazoa; Chordata; Mammalia; Primates; Cheirogaleidae.
UCAUUUAAAAAAAAGUGUACUAUAGAUGCAAGAAAAAUGUCCUCGCGCUUUCUGUCUGCCUGAUUGUGGCAGCCAAGAUUGAAUAGAGGAAUACAGAG